UAUUGUACAUAAAUUUUAAUUUUGAUUUCUGGGUCCCUCCUGAACACAGAUUUUCUGGGCAACCAAACGUGGAAUUAACCAUUUCAGAAAAAAAAACACCGUUGAAUUAACAAUUCUCACAAUUUUACGAUUUGCUCACAAAUUCAAGCCUGCGGAGGUUGAAGAAAUCAAAUCCUCACUUUUAAUUCGUCAUACCUUGCCAACCAGUCUCCCGAUGAAUUACAGAAGGGAUCACCGUUCCUCCAGAUCAUCUCUCUUUAAUGACCUUGAGGAAGGUAGUCUCAGGUCUUCUUCCUCAUAUUCACAUGACAUUAACGAGCAUGACAAUGACAAAGCUGUUGAGAGUUUGCAAGAUAGAGUGAUUUUCUUAAAACAAAUAACAGGUGACAUACAUGAUGAGGUAGAGACUCAUAAUCGCUUCCUUGAUCGAAUGGGGAAUAACAUGGAUGCUUCAAGGGGCAUAAUGUCUGGCACCAUGGAUCGGUUUAAGAGGGUUUUCGAGAAAAAAUCCAAUCGAAGAAUGUGUACACUAGUCUCGUGUUUUGUGAUUACUUUUUUAAUAAUAUACUAUCUUAUCAGGAUACUCAGUUACUUCAAUCAUAGCUGACAGAAAACUGGAGAAGCUUUUUUGCUCAAAUCUUCAGUUACAUGUCGAAUACAGAUGCUAAGCCAUAUUCAAUGAGAAAUAUUAUACCAAUCUAAGUGACCAGUAAACGAGGGCAGAUCAGAGGCUUGGAAUCUAAUCUUAUUAUGUGCUCUGCUUUAUAGACAUGAACUGACAAGCAAACGCAUAGGGGUCUUCUCUUUAAAUGCAGUGUUGGCACACAAACAUAUUGGCUUUGUUAGUGAAGUUACUUGAGAAUUUUAAUUUUCUGAUAAUCUAGUCUAUAAUCUUUCAAAUAGAGAUCCAAACAAAUGGGACCCUUUGAUUCUGAUCUCUAAUCUUGUACUCCCAUCAAGAUGGGCCAAAUUCCUUUAAAACAGUGGGGUAUUCAUACUAGUAGGAUGAAUAUACAUCUUCUCCAGUAGGUUAUCAAA
Cannabis sativa is the source of this 1038-nucleotide RNA transcript. It is a transcript of the gene named bet1-like SNARE 1-1, with no coding region annotated. The transcript is spliced from 7 exons. NCBI's taxonomy places the organism in Eukaryota, Viridiplantae, Streptophyta, Magnoliopsida, Rosales, Cannabaceae. The record is from RefSeq and is a predicted model, not a curated record.